ACUCCUACGGGAGGCAGCAGUAGGGAAUCUUCCACAAUGGGCGAAAGCCUGAUGGAGCAAUGCCGCGUGAGUGAAGAAGGUUUUCGGAUCGUAAACUCUGUUGUUGAAGAAGAACAUGCGUGAGAGUAACUGUUCACGUACUGACGGUAUUCAACCAGAAAGCCACGGCUAACUACGUGCCAGCAGCCGCGGUAAUACGUAGGUGGCAAGCGUUGUCCGGAUUUAUUGGGCGUAAAGAGAAUGUAGGCGGUUUAUUAAGUUUGAAGUGAAAGCCCUCGGCUCAACCGAGGAAGUGCUUCGAAAACUGGUAAACUUGAGUGCAGAAGAGGAAAGUGGAACUCCAUGUGUAGCGGUGGAAUGCGUAGAUAUAUGGAAGAACACCAGUGGCGAAGGCGGCUUUCUGGUCUGUAACUGACGCUGAGAUUCGAAAGCAUGGGUAGCAAACA
This 446-nucleotide ribosomal RNA is filed under the name uncultured bacterium. RNAcentral's name for it is "bacterial SSU rRNA". It matches the Rfam family "Bacterial small subunit ribosomal RNA", at positions 335 to 774 of the family's 1533-position model. The record is from RNAcentral.